RNAcentral lists this long non-coding RNA (270 nucleotides) under Elaeis guineensis (African oil palm). RNAcentral describes it as "long non-coding RNA (EGUI_LNC018206)". Lineage: Eukaryota; Viridiplantae; Streptophyta; Magnoliopsida; Arecales; Arecaceae. The record is from RNAcentral.
CCAAACCAACAACAUUCUCCGGAUAGUCCACCUACGUCUAUGGAUUUGCAUAUUAGAACUAGUAGUCAUGAUUUCAACAUGGAAGGCAAUUUUGGUAGAAGCUUACAUCUUGUUCCAUUUGGCCCAAACCAACAACAAUCACCGAAAAGUCCACCUAUGUUGACGGACCUGCAGACUAAAAUAAGUCGUCAUGCUUUCAAGAUGGAAGGUGGUUUUGGUAGAAGCUUACGCCUUGUUCCAAGUGGCCCAAACCAACAACAUUCUCCGGAC